ACUGGGACAACUUUUGUGUUAGCUUGUGGGGACCUGUGCCAAUUAGUUCGCUUCCUGAUGUCACUGCGGAACCUCCUCGAAAGGAUAGUGGCGAAUUGCUCCUCAGCAAAUUGUUUCUUGACGCCUGUAGCUCUGUAUAUGCUGUUUUCCCUGCUGGCCAGGAAAACCAAGGACAACCAUUUAUGUCUAAGCAUUUUAAUGUGAUUGAUCCUUUACGAGUAAACAACAACCUUGGCCGUAGUGUGAGUAAAGG
Molecule: unclassified non-coding RNA, 253 nt
Filed under: Hevea brasiliensis (rubber tree)
Lineage: Eukaryota; Viridiplantae; Streptophyta; Magnoliopsida; Malpighiales; Euphorbiaceae
Source: RNAcentral